CAGCUCCUCGUCCAGUGAAAGUGAAAGUAAACACAAAACAGUAUCAUGAAAACACCGUUGCAAGGUUGAAGCCGUUUGUUGACUGGCCCAGCAAAUUGAGUGUGAAAUCAAAGAUAAGGGUGGCGUCUGAACUCUGCUCCACACAGCAAGCAGAUUUGAUUUCUCUGACUCAACCCAUCGUUACCGGACAAAUCAGAUGGCCCCCGAAUGUGUUGGCAUUCGGUGAAAUGUUGGGGAGGUACUCAAAU
This is a long non-coding RNA of Salvelinus fontinalis (brook trout), 248 nucleotides long. RefSeq lists it as uncharacterized. The record is from RefSeq and is a predicted model, not a curated record. The transcript is spliced from 3 exons. Lineage: Eukaryota; Metazoa; Chordata; Actinopteri; Salmoniformes; Salmonidae.